This 7654-nucleotide long non-coding RNA is filed under the name Vitis vinifera (wine grape). RNAcentral describes it as "long non-coding RNA (VVIN_LNC000700)". The record is from RNAcentral. Lineage: Eukaryota; Viridiplantae; Streptophyta; Magnoliopsida; Vitales; Vitaceae.
CUGACAAAGGAAAUGAUUAUGAAGUCAAGUAAAUUUUGAGUAUGAUUUACAAGUUAAGUUCUGACAGAGAUUUCUCCAUUGUUGUUGAGCAGUUGUACAACACUGUAGAUGGAAGAAAACACCCAGAGGAAUACUGGAGAAAUCUGAGGAUGCGGGUGCCCAUGAGAAAGGCCACUGAGCAAAAGCCAGAAGUUAUUCUUUCCAUUGACGAAUUCAAGUAUCACAAUGCUGCUACAGACGCUGAGGAGAAACCUCUUGGCACCUCCUCUGAACCAGUUGGCAGUGGUGGCGAUGGCGGUGGCGAUCUUAAAGAAGAGGAGCCUCUUGGCACGUCCUCUGAACCAGUUGGCAGUGGUGGUGGUACCGGUGGUGGCGACCGUAAAGUACACAAACAUCUUUUUAAGCAAUAUGGACCAAAAGUUCCUGCGAAUUAAUUUAAAUACCGUGUGCAAGUGUACUGUCAUGGAUGAUAAUAUUUGAAUGGAAGAUAUGUGAAAUGAUCUCUAUCCUUUUAUGGUCAUUCAGGGUCCGGCAACACUACAAACAUGUAGUUUUUCAAUAAAGUGAUAUCACCUAUGUAUUUCACAACUUAAUCUCAUUUCUCUGUUUUCAUCUACCUUUAUGUCUUGUUUCUUGGUAUGACCUAUGUAUUUUGCAACUUAAUCUUAUUUGCCUGUACUCAUCUACCUUUGUGUCUAGUCACAUGGUAUGUAUCCUCGUUUGUACUCAUCUACCUUUAUGUCUGGUCACGUGGUAUGUAUCCUCGUCUGUUCUCAUCUACAUUUGUGUCUAGUGACGUGGUAUUUAUCCUCAUUUGAUGACUUAUCACCUCUGUAUUUUACAACUUCAUAUCAUUUGUCUAUACUCAUCUACCUUUGUGGAUAGUUACGUGGUAUGUAUUAUCGUUUGAUGACCUAAAAUUUAUCAUAUAUAUAUAUAUAUAUAUAUAUGAUAUUUCCUUCUAUAAGUAUUGCUAAGAUAUUUUCGCAUUUUUCGAUUAUUUAUGAUUUUAUAUAAAAGGCCUUUGAUUUUACAAAAGACGCUUACUUCAGAACAUUUUCUACAAAAAGACAGUUAUGUUCAAAACAAUUUUUAAAAAUAUUUUUGUAAAAUAAAAGUUUAUUUAAAAACUUAAAAUAUUCUCUAUCUAUUUUUUAUAUUUUAAUUUUUUAAAAAAUAUUUCUUAAAAAUAAUUAUAUGUAAUGCUUUAUUUUGAAUCAUUCUUUAUAUUUAUACAAUCAUUUUUUAAAACAACAUAAAAAAAAACAAGUGAAAAUAACUAAAAAUAUGUUCUAGUAAAUAUCAUAUUUUCGGGACAAAUUCUUAAAAAAACUAUUUUAUAUCAAAAAAAUACCAAAUUCAUGUUUUUGAGUCUUAAAAAUAGUUUUCAGUUUAAAAAUAAUUCUCAAUCAACUCUUAUAAUCUUUAUGAAAACAGAAUGUUGAACAUGCAUCAUUAAAUAUUUAUGAAACUAUCAUUUUACUUAAUGCAAUGACAUUCUUAUAAUUUUGUAGAUAAAAUUGUAAAAAUUCAUUCAAUUGCUAACAAAGGUAAAUAAAAAUCUUUUUCCUAUAAAUAAAUCAAAUUACUUUUUUUUAAUAAAAUUAUUUCUAAUAAAUUAUUUUAGCAACGAUAAGUAUAAAUAAUUUUUUUAAGAAUAAAAAAAUUGAAUGCAAAUAAAAUUGAAUCAAAUCAUUUAUUCAAAAUAAAUUAAAACCUUUUUAUAAAUAAAUAAAUUAAAUUUCAUUCAAUUGCUAACAAAGGUAAAUAAAAAUCUUUUUCCUAUAAAUAAAUCAAAUUACUUUUUUUUUAAUAAAAUUAUUUCUAAUAAAUUAUUUUAGCAACGAUAAGUAUAAAUAAUUUUUUUAAGAAUAAAAAAAUUGAAUGCAAAUAAAAUUGAAUCAAAUCAUUUAUUCAAAAUAAAUUAAAACCUUUUUAUAAAUAAAUAAAUUAAAUUUCAUUCAAUUGCUAACAAAGGUAAAUAAAAAUCUUUUUCCUAUAAAUAAAUCAAAUUACUUUUUUUUAAUAAAAUUAUUUCUAAUAAAUUAUUUUAGCAACGAUAAGUAUAAAUAAUUUUUUUAAGAAUAAAAAAAUUGAAUGCAAAUAAAAUUGAUUCAAAUCAUUUAUUCAAAAUAAAUUAAAACCUUUUUAUAAAUAAAUAAAUUAAAUUUUUUUAACAAACUCCUUUCGAAUUUCUUAAAAAAGUAAUUUUUUGAAAUAUUUUUUAACAUUAGUUUAAUAAAUCAGUUUUCAUAAUUUUUAUAUUACUUAUCUUGUACAUUCUUGUAAUGACUCAUCACCAUACUUUCUCGCAGAUAUGUCUGUCUUUUCAUUAAAAAAAAGAAGUUGCACUAGAUUUUUUUUCUUAUUUUGGUUUUUCUUUUUCAAAAUAAACAAAAAUAAGUGAUAACUCCAAAUAUUUUUUCUAAAAUGUAAAUUUUUCACAAGUCUUGCCAUCAAGUAAGAGCUCACAUGAAAGAUGUAGAUCCAUAGCAAUUAAAAAAAAAAAGGGAAAAAGACACCUAAACUUUUUCUUUUCCAUUUUCCUCAACAACGGCACAAUUUUUCUUUUCCUCAACUUUUCCGUCGGUAAACAAGUAAGAGAAAAACUGUUGUCUUGCCUUUAUUUUCCCACAUUUUUUUCUCAAAAUUUAAAAAAAAAUAAAAAAUAUAAUUUUCUUCCGGGUUUGUUUUUCUUCUCUGGUCAUGCUUCUAGAAUAUCCACUCUUUGUUUCACUUGAAACUUCAAAGAACCAAACAAAACCAAAGAAUUUUUUCAAAAAAAAAAAAAAAAAUUCAGUUGUAAAAUAUCUUGCUCUAUAAUUUUUGUUUUCUAGUGCUUGUUAUGUAUUUGAUUUUUAAAAGUAUUUGAUUUUUAAAACACUAAUUGUAAACCAUUUGUGAAGGACAUUGAGGCUAUGAGUAUUAAUACAUUGGCUUACACAAUAGCUAAGGAUCAUAAAUAAUCAUUUGUGAGAGAUUUUGAGCCCAUGAAGACGAAUACCUUGGCUUACACAAAGGCGUACGUAAAAGGAAUUUGAGCUUGUUGGGUCUAGUUUUCCAUCUUUACUAUGGUGAAGUUACUACUAAAGAAGUGGCAGAAUAAGGGAAACUAUAAUGUGCACUAUAUAUAUAUAUAUAUAUAUAUAUAUAUAUAUAUAUACACUAAAGGUACGUAAAAAAUCAACUAAAAGGCUAAUGAUUAUGUUUUUGGUUAUCUUAUUGGAAACAUAAGUCAUAUGCCUUAUCUUUUAGUCAUUGUUGUAUCUCAAAACGAAGAAAUAGAUGUUCAAUGUUUGAUGUUUGAUGUGUGCCAUGAUUUCAGAGAAGUUGAAAACCUACGUAUAAAUACUUGAAAUGGUAAAUGACAUUUUAUGUUGAAAAUUAGUUACUUUUCAAGAAAAAAUUAUGAGAAAGAUUAAAUUCACAAUGUUGGAUUAUUUCAUCAUUUUUAACCAAAAAUUUUCUAAAAAUACUUUGAAUAGAAACAUUACAAAACAUACUAUUAGUCAAAUAAAACACGAAAUUUUAACACAAUGCCCAAGCCCACCUCGCUUUAGUACUAAGCUUAAUGUCACGGACUUAGUCGUUCACUAAGCUCGUGCGACACUUUGGCAAGAUAAGACGCUUGAUCUUUGAAGUCAGCCUUAUUCACAAUGCUUAGCUUGCUAGGCUAAGGUGCUUAUGACUCAAAAGCUUAAGAAGCUUAAUAGGCAACUCCUUAAAGAAUGGAAGCUCUCAUUAACUCAAAGAAGCUCUUACAAGUGCUUGGAAGCUCACUUACUUGGUUAGGAAGUGAUUUUGGUGGUGCCUUGGCCAAAUGAGGUCCUCACAUAUUUAUAGGCACCAAUAAAACUCUCUAGAACCUUAAAGGGUUCCUUACAAAUAAAAAAUAUUCUAGAACUCCCUACACUAAUUUAUGUACAACCCUAUGUACAAGAAUAUACAAUAGAUCUUUAGAAUCUUAUAGAAAGCCUUGGACUCCUCUCAUGUCUUCCACCAUAGUGUAGAGAUGUGUGAACAUCUCUAGGCAUCUCUAGAACCUUCCACAUUAUUCCCACCAAUGACUUAGUGUAGAUGGCUCCAGGAGUCUCCAGAAGCUUCCCUCCUCCUAUAUAAGCCCAUGGGGAGGGUCAUUUGAAGCAUCUUGUGACAUUAAGCCCAAAAACUUCUAGCACCUUGGGCCACAUGCACGUGGCCCAGUCGAGGAUCAUUUCAAACCAAACAUGAAAAGAUAAAUUAAUAAUGAUUAAAAUGGAUGAAAAGACCCCAAAUUUGUAAAAUUAACCUCCCUCAUUUUUUUAACUUAAAGAGUAACCUAUUUUUUAUAUAAAUACCCUUCAAAUUUUCAUUAUUUACAUGUGGUUUAAAAGAAAAUAUUAUUUCUAUAAGAAAAAAAAAAAGAAUAUUUUUGUCCAAAAUAGGUAUUUUUUAAAUUGAAAAAAAGUAAAGGGUUAGUUUUGUAAAAUGAGAAUAAUUUCGGCCCUUUCAAUAGGUUAUCCCAAAAAUAAAUAAAGAAACAAAAGAGAUCCUUUGAUUGAUUCUCGAGAUCUCUAUGAUUAUCCAUGGAUGCCCAUGCUGUCUGCCUCUCAAUUUUAAAAAGAAAAACAAUGAAAAUGUGAUAAAAGCUAAAGUAACACAUAACAAAAAGUGUCACCACCAUGGAUAUCUCAAAGAAUAAAAUAUAUGCCUCGUUAUCUUAAUUUGGGCUUAAUCCACAUAUUAAUGACCGCCAACGUGGAUCUCGAGGGUCUUGAAUUGCUGUCUUAUACAUAUUUUUUCUUGCUUUUGUAGCUAUAUAUAUUACAUAGACUGAUCGGAGUCUCUCACGAAAAUUACAGAGAGGAAAGCCAUGGAGUCUCCUCUCGCUUUCUUGGCCAUUUUCUCGCUUCUCUUCGUAAGUAUUUCCACAUUUUCUUCUAUUUUCGUCAAAUCUUUUUUCAUUAACUUUAAAUAUAUAUAUUUUUUUAUUUUCUUGAGCAUAUUCAUUCCUUCUAUUUUUCUUUCCUAUUUACUUUCCUUCUUGUUGAGCAGUUGGCCAGUGUAGAGGCAAGAAAACACCCAGGAGAAGACUGGAGUAAGGGCCCAGCAACUUUGAGGAAGAAGCAGCCGGCCGUGGUAGAAUCAGCUGAUUCUACAAUGAAUGAUCAGACAUCAACUCUCUACAUCGCCAAUGUAGAAAACUGUGAAGAAGCAAAAGACAGCCCAGUUGUGGAGAGAGGGGCUUCAAAAGAAGAAGGGAUAAUCAACCUAUCUCCUUUUCUUGUUGGAGAAACAGCAGAGGAUAUGAGCAAGGAGCAGAUUAAUGAUUCAGCUGACUUUGACAAAGAUCUAGAUGGUCCUGCGGAGAAGUUCUGGUUCGUCUUCGACCCGAGGACUGAUGCCACCAUUUAUCAUGAGUAAGGCCUGGGAAGAGGGAGUCCUAUGUCCAUUAAUUAAUAGCAUGCGUGAAGGUGUUUGAUGUUUGUAUUAUUAGUAGAUCUGGUACGAAGAGUGAAAGGUUUCUCUCUUUGUUGAAGAUUUAAUAAAUGGUUGUGUGCAUGGUUUCUCCCUUCAUUUUCCACUAUUAGAAAGCUAAUUAUCUAUGAAAAAAAUAUCACAAAAUACAUAAUAUAUAUUAUAAACUCAAAUCUUACAAACUUAAACUUUUUAAAAAAUUGACCCUUUAAUAUUAUACCAGAACUAUUUGGUAUUGAGGCUAUGUGUGAAGGAGGGUGUACGAGAGUAUAACAUGUGUGUUAGAGUGCGUUUUGGAGUAAUUUUAGAAAGCAUUUCUAACAUUUAUAACACUUGAAUAAUAAUAAUUUUCAAAUAUUAAAAAUAUUAAAAACGUUUCUUAGAAUCGCUAUCAAACAAACUCUUAAACUUAUAAAAUCAUUGAAAUCAUGUUGGGAGUCAAAAGUUUAUCGUCAUUUAUAAUCAAAUAGUAAAUUGAGAUUAAGGAUAAUUUUAUAAUAUAUUAACCUUAUCUCACUCCAUUCGUGCCUCAAAUAUAUACAUAUUGUCAUUUUCUCAAAUAUAAAGAGGAAAUUGUGAAGUUAGAUUCAUAGAUCAUUACAAAGAAAAGAUUUUUAAUAAAAUCCCCAAUGGAGUAAUUACAAUUCCAAUAAAUAUGUAGUCUAAUUCCGAUGAUAAGUUUUACAUAAUCCCUUAUUAUGGAACAGACAAGUUAAAGUUCGUUUCAUAGUGAUUUUAUAAAACACUUUUACUUUAAAAAGUGUUUUUGAACAAAAAAUUUUAUUUUUGGCAAAAUUUAGAAAACUCAUUUAAAAAUUAAAAAAAAAAUAUCACUUAUAAUAUUUUUAAAAAAAAAUACUUGAUAGGUGUUUAUCUUAAAAGCACUUCUAUUAAAAAAACAUUUCUAAUAAAAACAUCGUAAAAAACACUCUCAGAUUUAGAAUACGUUCGUAGUGAUUUUAUGAAGUAUUUAUAAUAUUUUUAAUAUUUGAAAAAUAAAAAAUUUCAAAUAUUAGGAAUGGUAGAAAUACUUCCUAGAAUCACUGUGAAACGUAUUUUUAAUACUUAAAAAAAAAUAUUCAAAGUGGUUUCUAAAUACCUUCUCUUAUAAUCGACUUAGACUUUAUUUGACAAUGAUUUUUAAAAAUAUUUCUUUAAAAAAGGUAUUUUAUAAAACUUAAAAAUAUUUUUAAAAAUCUAAAAAAUUACUUAUAAUAUUGUGUGAAAAAACACUUAUAUUAAAAACACUUGGGUAAAAGCAGCGCCAAUAGCACUUUUAGUUUGAAAGGAGACACAAAAUGAUAAAAAAGAAAAGGUUUGCUAUUGGGUUAUUAAAAAAAUUACCCAUAUAAAAAUAUUGUCUAGGGACCCCCUAUUAUCGGUCAUCUAUUAUUGGACUUAAUCAUCUCGGUUGAGUUCGGGCUUGAUCCCAAUGAAGAAAAUUUUGGUUUGGGCUCGAAUUUGCUUUUUAUGUCCAAACCUGAUAGUGGGCUACACAUGGGCUCUACUAGACCUGACCCAGAUGGUCGACCUUGCUUGGCCUGCCCCAAAGGAUUGGUCAACCUUUCAUCAAUCAAUGGAACACUUUUAGGAUGGGAUGAAUAUGAGGAGGGUCGGAGAUGGGUCACCUCAUCCUGUUCCAUUUAUUUAAAAUAAUGUUUAUUCCCAUUUUACACUAAUUGUAAACCAUUUGUGAAGGACAUUGAAGCUAUGAGUAUUAAUACAUUGGCUUACACAAUGGCUAAGGAUCAUAAAUCAUUUGUGAGAGAUUUUGAGCCCAUGAAGACGAAUACCUUGGCUUACACGAAGUCGUAAAAGGAAUUUGAGCUUGUUGGGUUUACUAUGGUGAAGUUACUACUAAAGAAGUGGUAGAAUAAGGGAAACUAUAAUGUGCACUAUGUAUAUAUAGAGAUAUACUAAAGGUACGGAAAAGGCGUUUACUUCUUGCAAAAAAACACAAGGGUGUGAAGAUGUUUAAAACAAAUCCUUGUCCCAAUGUUAUUCAAAAUACUCCUUUAAUCACCCGAUGCCUUUUUGAGCUCCAUAUUUUUCUUUUAGGUUAUGUUUGGUUCCCGAAAAAUACUAAGGAAAGAAAAAAAAUGCAAAGGAAAAUGAUUUUUUCAUGUUUAGUUGUCCUAUGAAAAAUAUAAAAGAAAAUUAAAUAUAAUUAAAACUAAUUAAAAACCUAUGUAUUUUA